CCUACGGGGGGCAGCAGUGAGGAAUAUUGGUCAAUGGACGAGAGUCUGAACCAGCCAAGUAGCGUGAAGGAUGACUGCCCUAUGGGUUGUAAACUUCUUUUAUAUGGGAAUAAAAUGUUCCAUGUGUGGGAUUUUGUAUGUACCAUAUGAAUAAGGAUCGGCUAACUCCGUGCCAGCAGCCGCGGUAAUACGGAGGAUCCGAGCGUUAUCCGGAUUUAUUGGGUUUAAAGGGAGCGUAGGUGGAUUGUUAAGUCAGUUGUGAAAGUUUGCGGCUCAACCGUAAAAUUGCAGUUGAAACUGGCAGUCUUGAGUACAGUAGAGGUGGGCGGAAUUCGUGGUGUAGCGGUGAAAUGCUUAGAUAUCACGAAGAACUCCGAUUGCGAAGGCAGUUCACUGGACUGCAACUGACACUGAGGCUCGAAAGUGUGGGUAUCAAACAGGAUUAGAUACCCCUGUAGUC
Molecule: ribosomal RNA, 460 nt
Filed under: uncultured bacterium
Lineage: Bacteria
Description: partial 16S ribosomal RNA
Rfam family: Bacterial small subunit ribosomal RNA
Source: RNAcentral